UGUAAGUUUGAGCGAAAAAAGUCACUCCAAGUUUUUUUUUCGGCCAAAGCAGAAGCAAAAUUCAAGUGAUAACUGUUAAGAAAAUCGAUAAGUUCGAAAUGCCUUGUUCACCGUGUAGAAUCAGCUGCCGUCGUCCAUUGAUUAAAUUUCGCUGUGCACCCCGGUGUGGACCAUGUGUCUCGCCACCGUGCGCCAUGCUGUGCCCUUGCGCUCCUUGUGUACCUUGUUCUCCCUGUGGGCCCUGCUCGACAUACACCCCGUACGGUCCUUGCUGGGGACCAAACGGACCGUGCGCCCGCAUCGAGUACUACGACCGGUAAUCAAGAUUUCAAAACCUGAAGUUCAUCAACACUUACCUCAUCAGCUCAAAGCUGAUACAGAGAUGAUUCCGAAACUCGUCUAGUAUCCUCACCUCGACCAGCGCCUGAUGGUGGAAGCGUUUCUUGUUGCGGAUGAUUUUGAUUGCGACGUGUUGAUUGGUUUUGUGGUCCAGGGCUCGAAUCACCUGCCCGAAGCUUCCCUUGCCGAUGACUUCGAGGAUUUCAUACCGGUAGCAGAUGUGAUCGUGGAUAACCUGAUCCCAGCAAAGGAAGUGAAUUAUGUUCAGUGUUGGGUAAAAUAAAUUCAUUAUGACUGUACUGUACCUUAUUGUAGCUGCCAUUGUCAUCAUCGUAACCCGAGUUGAUUGCACUGCCCGGUUUGGCAUUAACUUUGCAGGCAUCAAGUCCUAGGUAGUAAAUUUCCGGGUACUUCUCGAUUUCCUGCUUUUCGUAGUCUGUCAAU
Long non-coding RNA from Wyeomyia smithii (pitcher-plant mosquito), 783 nucleotides. RefSeq lists it as uncharacterized. The transcript is spliced from 3 exons. The record is from RefSeq and is a predicted model, not a curated record. Lineage: Eukaryota; Metazoa; Arthropoda; Insecta; Diptera; Culicidae.